GUACUUUGGGUGCUACAAUGGGCACCAAAAAAAACAUCUAUAACCUAUUUGGGAAUUUAUCUAACAUGGCAGACCACAAGUUUCUGUCAGGUGGAAAAAGCUCCCGAGAUCCAAGUCCCAGGCCAAAAACAAAGUCCUCGUCAGAGAGAGACAGGGACCCCACGCAGGAAAAUUGGAAUAAAGAUCAAGAGAAAGCACAGCACAAAGAUGUGGACACGUUUCCACUCAAAAAGGGAGGGAAAGAGCAGAAGGUAGAAGGUGGCAAAAGUAGGAACGGCAGACUCGUUUCAAAUAUCGAGAGGGGAGAUGAUCAUAGAGAAAAAGAGAUUUUUUUGGAGCGUGGUACGUUUCCCAGAAUGAGUAAAAAUUCCUUUGAUCCUAGAUUGAGAAUGACAUCUUCUUCUGAGAUGCAGGAGAAAAGAGAACGAAGACCCAACGACUAUCCUAAAAGAGAGGAGAUAGAAGACAACAGAGAUAAAAGAAAUCAUGAGACCGGGCCCAGAAGCAGGGAAGUGGGUAAAAACAUGGAGAGAUGGUCUUUAGAAGAUGAAAGGCUGUACCAGAGAGAGAAAUACAGAUCUAGUGGUGGAGACCUAGACAGAGCAGGAGAUGCAGGUGACUUUAGGGAAAUUAGAGAAAAAGACGCACCAAGGAAAAGAGAAAAAGCAAGAUCAGACAUGGACAGGAUGGAUCCCAGAAUGUAUAACACAGAUAGAGUAUAUGAGAGGGACAGUCAUUCUGACAGAAGAGAAAAGCCUCAAAGGAGGGAAGAAACAAAGGAUUCAAGGGGAGACAGAAACAUUGAUGAAAGACAACCGAGGCAUGAAAGAUAUAGAGAGGAUGGAGAUGGACAGAGGUACAGAAAUAAGGACACAGGGAAAGAAGAGGAUAGAACCAAGAAGAGCAGAGCUCAUAAAAACAGGAAGAUGGAAAGAUCAGCAGAUAAAGUAGAAGAAAGAUAUAGGGAAACUGAUAGAGGUCUACGAGAUGAAAUGAGAAAUGAUGAUCGUCAUAGAGAGGAAAGAAGAACCAGGGAAAGAAAGAACGGACAGGAAGGUAUGCCAGGCAAAAGGUCUGAAUGCCACUCACCUGGUGGUGGUAGAGAUAAGAGGAGGGAUACAGAAGAGGAGAGAAUGCAUAAACGACGUGGAGACAGCGAUGAGGAGAGGAAAACAAGUAGACACAGGACUGGUGAGCAGGAAAGAGGAGAAGAUAAAUGCAGGGAUCCAGAUAGAACUGAGAGAAGUCAGAGGUCUCAAAACAGAACUGAUAGAGAUGAUGGCAGAGGAACGAGAGGCAAUGCUCUUGAGCUAGGAAGGAUGUGGUUAGACCCACAGAGGGGCAAGAAUAGUAAAGAAAGUAGAGACAGAGAGAGACGCACAAGACAGAAGGAAGAGUGGAGUGAAGAGGAGACGUUGCAGGCAGUGAAAGGAAGAGACGAGCGACGGGAUAGUGGGGAACCAGAUGAGAGGUACUCCAAAACACUGGCGGGGAGAAAUGAAUUUAACAGGGGAGAACCAGAGGGAGCAUGUGUAGAUAGAGACGAGGAGAGCAAAGGCAUGAGAGGUCAGAGACGAGGGAGAGAAGACAGCUGGCAAAAAAAUGGACAGACAGAGUACACUGCAGUUAACUCAGAGGAAAGUGACAGGGAGGAAGGGGGAAAGAGGGAUUACUCUCCACACUCUAGGAACAAAGAAGGAAAUGAGGUCAGAUGGAAGGAAGAACGAGACAGAAUAUCAUCAGCAGAGGAUGGUUUUAUGACAUUAUCCAGCAGUGGAGAUGAGAUAGAGAAAGAGUUCAGAGGAUGUGGAGACGCUCACAAGGAACCCACAUCUUAUGACUCAAUGGAAUUUGAAAGUCAUGAGGAAAGGGAAGAAGAUGAGGUGAAACAAAGACGGAAAAAGAAAGGAAAUUGUUUCUUUCGUGGGAUUAGGCCAUCAGGACAAAACAGCGAGGUGUCACAGGAUGAUCAAAGAGGAGGAGCUGAUGGACAAAAUCCAAAUUUAGAAAGUCAUUGUGGUCUCAACGAUGAUGAAGCAAAUUUCCAGGAAAACAUAUUUAUUACAAAAGAGAGAUGUGAUGACAAGCAAGAAAUCAGUAACCAGUAUAUUAAAGGUGACUCUAUCCCAAUAAGGGAAGAAACGUUUACUUCAGAGGAAACAGAGGAACUGGAAAUCCAGGAUUCAUUUUCAAAACCUCAAGAAGCGGCUAAAAACAGAAUGAGGAGCAAAGGGGGACGUGUAGAAAUGAGAAAAGUUAAAAGAGACUCAAAAACUGAAAAACUCCUUAAAGCAUGGAAGGAGAAAAACAAUGAACUUGCAGGCGAAGAAAGAGGGCAACCUCCUUCUGUCCUACGUAAUCCUGGCGAUGGUUCCCAGGAGACUUUUGAACAAACUCGGCGCUUUUUGGAUCAAAUAAACAUUGAAGCAAUGAGUGAAGAACAGGUGGAGGCCAUUCGGGUUAGAAUGAGCGGAGCAUGGAGCACCGACGACCCCAAGAGGUAUUCCCAUCCACCUCACUUGAAAUGGGCUACAAGCGUGGUACGAGAAAUACUAGGGACGUCGGAGGAAAACGCAAUGGAGGAACCAACUUCAGAGACGCAAAAAGAUCAAAGUGUGACCACCGAGCUACAGGAUGAGGCUCCAGAGAGAGCUACGGAGGUGCCCGCUUUCAAAAUUUGGACUAGUACCCAGUGUUCAGAUGCAGAAGGGGAGGACUACAGCCCACCAGAGGAUUUUGGAGGUAUGGGACAAAUGCACAUGCUUUCUGACCAGCUCACAGCUGGGCCUGUUGCAACACCCACAUCCAUUCAUGCUGACACACUGAUAAACACAGGAGGAGGGGACGAUCACUUACCGGAUACAACGUCUGAGCUUUGUGGUCAAACACACUUAGAAAGGAAACGCUUGAAAAAAGUUGGGAGAGAGAACGAAAUGGACAUGUAUCUAGAUGAGAGCUAUAUGCUCUACAAACCCUAUAGCUGCCCGUCUCUAAAUUACAGUUCUGAUUUUGACCUUCUUAUUAGCACCUCUAGAGAGUAUGAGGGGUCAGAGGAUGAUUUGGGACAAGAGAAGGGUUUUGUUGUCGAGUCGGAUGAGAUUAAAGUGGAUAUUGAGCAGGAAGAAGUGUCAUCUGAGAAUGAGGGCACUUGCGGCAGUCAGAGUUUGGGUUUCAAAGCUGAUUUUCGAAGGAGGGGGAUCCGAGUAACAACUGAAAGAAGAAGUGGAACGCUUUUGCAAAUGGAGGGUGUUGCAGGGGACCACAGAACCAAAGUAUUUUCUCCAAAAGAUGAUGCAGAUGUUGCAAGCAGAAGCAUGGGAGACAUGGAGUUGAGGGCGAAUCUUCAUCCAUAUCCAAGAAAAAAAAGGAAUUCAAAAUAUUUCAAAGCUGCACAGCUCUACCAGCAGUACAGUGAGGCUGCGCAGAACAUUGAAAUCCUGCGGCAGGGUAGCGCGGACGCGCUCUCCGGAUGCGAGGGCCCUCCGUCGUCUCCUGUUCCGUCACCCCCGCCAUCCCGGAGACCUCUUCCCUCCCUGCCCCCAGUCCUGCACCCCCAUUCCUUGUCCCACCAGUCCCACUUGUCCCACUCCUUCAAUAGCUUUAACAGCCUUCCUCUCCCGGAGUCUCACAGUAACAAGCGCCGGCCUUCCUCUCCACGUCUGUCCAUUUCACAACCUGGAACGCUGUGGCGGGAUCUUCCGGGUGUCAGGAACAGCUACGAGCUAGAGGAACUCACAGAAAACCAGUGGCGUCUGCAGGAGGUGCGCUUCGAAGUUGUAACAUCAGAGGCCUCCUAUUGUCGGAGUUUAGACAUUGUUGCUGAGCACUUUGUCAAGUGCAAGCCGCUGCAGGACCUGUUGGGCAAUCAGGAUCGAAACUGGCUUUUUUCUAGACUGUUAGAAGUCCGUGCUAUAAGCCACAGGUUCUUAGAAAAGCUGGAGGAACGCGUGGACUCGGACAUCAUGCACUUCACUGUUUGUGAUAUUAUUGCUCACCAUUGUAAGCGCUUCAGAUCAGUUUACGUUCCCUACCUCACCAACCAGUCAUACCAGGACAGUACCUACCAGAGGCUCAUGACUGAGAAUCCAACAUUCAAGCAGCUUGUGGAGAGUAUUGAAAAGAAUUCUGUUUGUCAGAGACUCCCUCUUCGUUCUUUUCUCGUGCUUCCUUUCCAAAGGAUUACAAGAAUUAAACUGUUGGUGCAGAACAUUGUGAAAAGAACAACCCCUGGCACCGCAGAGGCAAAGACAGCUAUCAGAGCGAUGAAACUUCUGGAGACGGUAGGGACCUCCAUUUUCUGCUUUAACAAGGCAAACACUCUUCCUCUGAUCAGUCAGUCUCGGAGGUGGGUGCGAGAAGGUCCUGUGAUCGAGUUGAUUGAUUUGGCUUGCAAAGACCCGGAACGCAACCUUUACUUGCAUCUCUUCAACGACUACUUGCUGCUGUCACUACAAAAAGAAGGAGGGAGGUUUACAGUAAUCAACCAUGCUCCUGUCAAUGAAGUGCAAGUAGAAAACUGCCGGAUCAAACUUCACUCCCUCCAGAAGAACCUGUUCCGGUUGCAAAUGUCAACCAAAUUCUACUUGCUAAAGACUGACACACAGAGUGAUAAGCUUCGCUGGAUCUCUGCGCUCUCCAGGCCUCAUCCUCAGUUGGAUUUUUCUGCUGCUCAAGGUAAAAAUUUGAUCUUGUUUAAUAUACUAUAUAUUAGUUUUUCUGAUUGCUUUUAA
Oryzias javanicus (javanese ricefish) is the source of this 4730-nucleotide long non-coding RNA. Lineage: Eukaryota; Metazoa; Chordata; Actinopteri; Beloniformes; Adrianichthyidae. The record is from Ensembl.